Molecule: ribosomal RNA, 520 nt
Filed under: Nakaseomyces glabratus
Lineage: Eukaryota; Fungi; Ascomycota; Saccharomycetes; Saccharomycetales; Saccharomycetaceae
Description: LSU rRNA
Rfam family: Eukaryotic large subunit ribosomal RNA
Source: RNAcentral
AGGAAACCAACUGGGAUUGCCUUAGUAACGGCGAGUGAAGCGGCAAAAGCUCAAAUUUGAAAUCUGGUACCUUUGGUGCCCGAGUUGUAAUUUGGAGAGUACCACUUUGGGACUGUACUUUGCCUAUGUUCCUUGGAACAGGACGUCAUGGAGGGUGAGAAUCCCGUGUGGCGAGGGUGUCAGUUCUUUGUAAAGGGUGCUCGAAGAGUCGAGUUGUUUGGGAAUGCAGCUCUAAGUGGGUGGUAAAUUCCAUCUAAAGCUAAAUACAGGCGAGAGACCGAUAGCGAACAAGUACAGUGAUGGAAAGAUGAAAAGAACUUUGAAAAGAGAGUGAAAAAGUACGUGAAAUUGUUGAAAGGGAAGGGCAUUUGAUCAGACAUGGUGUUUUGCGCCCCUUGCCUCUCGUGGGCUUGGGACUCUCGCAGCUCACUGGGCCAGCAUCGGUUUUGGCGGCCGGAAAAAACCUAGGGAAUGUGGCUCUGCGCCUCGGUGUAGAGUGUUAUAGCCCUGGGGAAUACGG